RNAcentral lists this non-coding RNA (24 nucleotides) under Arabidopsis thaliana (thale cress). Lineage: Eukaryota; Viridiplantae; Streptophyta; Magnoliopsida; Brassicales; Brassicaceae. The record is from RNAcentral.
AUAGUCAAGGACAUUAUGCGAGAG